Molecule: ribosomal RNA, 642 nt
Filed under: fungal endophyte
Lineage: Eukaryota; Fungi
Description: eukaryotic LSU rRNA
Rfam family: 5.8S ribosomal RNA (bases 191-344)
Source: RNAcentral
CGGAGGGAUCAUUAAAGAGUUCUAUAACUCCCAAACCCAUGUGAACAUACCUAACGUUGCCUCGGCAGGUCGCACCUACCUUGUAGCACCUUACCCUGUAAGGCCUACCCGGGAGGUGCGGGUAAGCCUGCCGGCGGCCCACCAAACUCUGUUUGAUAUUGAAUUCUGAACCUAUAACUAAAUAAGUUAAAACUUUCAACAACGGAUCUCUUGGUUCUGGCAUCGAUGAAGAACGCAGCGAAAUGCGAUAAGUAAUGUGAAUUGCAGAAUUCAGUGAAUCAUCGAAUCUUUGAACGCAUAUUGCGCCCAUUAGUAUUCUAGUGGGCAGGACCGUUCGAGCGUCAUUUCAACCCUUAAGCCUUCGUUGCUUAGUGUUGGGAGCCUACGGCAACGUAGCUCCUCAAAGUUAGUGGCGGAGUUGGUUCACACUCUAGACGUAGUAAUUUUUUAUCUCGCCUAUUAGUUGAACUAAUACCCUGCCGUAAAACCCCCAAUUUAUCAAGGUUGACCUCGAAUCGGUUCAGACAAACUCGCUAAAUUGAAGCAUCUUAGUCAGCGAAGGAAAAGAAACCAACAGGGAUUGCCCUAGUAACGGCGAGUGAAGCGGCAACAGCUCAAAUUUGAAAUCUGGCCCUCGGGUCC